GGAGAUCUCGGGUGCUGUCUCCGGACGUGCAGUCCCCAGGGGAGCUUUUGGGACAGUCUUGGGAUGUGGAGAACAAUUGGUUGGGGUGAUGGGGGAAGAAACGCCCGCCACAUGGGGGAGAGUGGAGACUGGGAGCUGUAGCGCUGGCGCCUUUGAGGGAAAUAUGGCGGGUGGGGGCGGUGGCUUUUCCCCGGAGGCCCAGUGUGGGGCGGCGGCUGUGGAGUCUCACAAAGGAGAACCUUUGCGAGUGGAGGGUUUCCUUGGGCUUGUGGUGGGGGGUGUAGUCCUGGAUGAGAGUGAGAGUAGGGGGAGAUGGGAAUCACUGCAGUUCAUCUUUGGGCGGAGACAAGCUGAGAUGCUGCGAUCGGAUUUCUUCCCGUCGGCUGGCACACCUUGGAGGAGGGUUUUUUGGGCUUUACGAUCUGCCUCGCCUUCUUGUUCUGGGGAGGUCCAGAAAAAUCUCACUCAUACUCCCUUUUUUCAGGCUUAUCCCUCAGAGCUCGAAGUUUCCUGGUAUCAUUUGGCUCCAGAAACACUGGGUUUUAGUGGAUAGGACAUUAAACAGGAGGCGAGGAGAUCAUGACUGUCAGUUUUAGGUUUUGUAAUGCCUGUGCCUCGAUUUACCAGUUUGUAAAAAUGAUGGCUUCCCCGUUCUCACGAACGCACCGUUAUGACAAAUGGAAGGAUCUUCUGUUGAACGAAAUUAUCUAAAAUGAUGUGUAGUAGCCGUAUUUUGGUCGAGUCCCCAAGCUUGGAAUGCGUGUUUUACUUUAUUGGAAAUCUUAACCUGAUUCAGGCGCAGAACUGAGGCUUGAGUCUUUGAAUUAGGCGAUUCCAGGAGAGUCUGUAUUUUCUUUUUUGCAUAUGAAUUAAAUGGUUUUAUGCACAGUUUUGAACAGUUCCUCUUCUGUUUAUUGCUUCUUUGUCCUGAAAGGUUCUUUAGUAAUUUUUCAGAACUUUAUCGAAUGGCCGUUGUGUCUGUUCAGUUAGUCCCAGGCAGUUUCCUUUUCAACAUAACUCCUCUUCCCACCCCUCCCCUUCGCAUACACCCACAUAUCACACAUUGGACCUAGGUACUUGUUACCCGUACAUCCAUUAAAUUGCACUGUAUUAAAAACCAGCAUUACGUGGUCUUACACAAAUAGAUUAUUUCUAAUGUUUUUUUUUCCCGGGGGGGCGUGUGGCGGGGUGAGACGUGGUUGGAGUCAAAUGCCUUGACCCAUCUCGUAAUUACUUAAGCUACUGAUUUUUCGAAAUUUUCUUCUCAAGUACUUAAGCCAGUUAUUUUUUAAAAUGUAAGGUAGGGCCCUUGGUUUCUUGAAUAGCGUCAGGGCUAGUCCCCCUGUGUCAUUAGAAAUUAGAAAUCAGGGAUUUAAAAAUUAGAGGGAGAAGGCCUCCAGAAGUCAAAUUUAGGAAAGACACUGCACUGAAUUUUUUCUUGUAAAUCUUUAAGUUAUUGGUAUUGAACGAGGUUCCUUUUGGAAGGGGGAGGGGUAAUAAAAGGGGAGAAGUACAGCUCAAGGUCAGUUUGUCUUUAUUUCAGUGUUUAAAAUUCAAACAAAUGUAGGUAUACUUGUAACGGAGUUGUUUUUUCCCGCCUUGUGCCCCAGAUCGGUUUCACCCUUAAUCUACCAGUGCCCUUGCGAGGAAACUUAACAUUAUAUUUGAAUACUUUCGGUUGUAUAGAGAUUUAGGCUGUGAGUAAACUUGAUGUGAUAACAAAAAGAAUGUGGAGGUUUUUUUUUUUUUUUGAAACGGAUUGGGAAACUCAUGAUUGUAGUUUCCAAACAAAUCAUAGUUUAAUGAUAAUUGUAUUUUGGAGUUGAGUGCUGAGGAUUUAAAAGCAAGAUCUUUAUUGGUUAUUCAACAUAGAAUGCUUUUGAUAGAGCCACAUUAUUACGUUGUUCAAAUGUUAGAUUUCCCUUUCAGAAUCUAAAGGGGAGGGACAUAGGACCUACAAUGUGGAGAAGAACUAUAGAGAACUCUGACAAUUGGGAGCUUAAGAAUCAGUGGAAAGGAAGAGGAGGAGGAAGGUGCAACAGGAGUAAGCCUGUCUCUACCUGUAUCCACAGAUGCAUGUUGUUGUUGUUGGUUGUAGAGUCGGUUCUGACACAUGAUGGACCUCAUGUGUGCAGAGUAGAAUGAUCCAUAGGGUUUUCAAGUCUGUGACUUUUGAGAAGCAGAAUGCUGGGCCUGUCUUCAAAGGAGCCUCUGGGUGGGUUUGAACUGCCAACCUUCAGCUAAUAGUGCUUAAGUGUUUCUGCCACCCAGGGACUCUAGAGAGUCAUAAAACCAAAACCAAACCCGCUGCCGUCGAGUUGAUUUCGACUCAUUGCAAUCCUAUAGUACAGAGUAGUACUGCUCCAUAGGGUUUUCAAGGAGUGCCUGGUGGAUUUGAACUGCUGACCUUUUGGUUAGCAGCUCUUAACCACUAUCCCACCAGGCUUUCCCUUUAGAGGCUAAAAAACCAAAAACCAAACCCAGUGCCAUCGAGUCGAUUCCGACUCAUAGCGACCCUAUAGGACAGAGUAGAACUGCCCCAUAGUUUCCAAGGAGCGCCUGGCGGAUUCGAACUGUUGACCCUUUGGUUAGCAGCCGUAGCACUUAACCACUACACCACCAGGGUUUCCUGUAGCGCCAUAGGUUUCCUUUAUUGAGUGCAGUGAAUUCAGUUUUGUGUCUGGUAACAAAAAAUGAUCCCAUAGUCCUGGUCACCAAACAAAGUUUACUACCAGGUGUGGGGAGUAGGAAAAGAUGAGGAUGCAUUUGAGUGAUUUGUUUUCUGGGUACUUGGAUAUAAAUGUUGGUUUCCCAAUAGUCCGUGCUUUUCUCCUCGUUUCUGUAUUUUGCAUGCUGUGUUGAGUUUAAUGCCUAAACUCCUUUUUAGCCUUACUUACCUAUCCUGGGAGAUUGGAAUCAAUUUAUAUAUAUCUAUAUAUAUCUAUCUAUAUAUAUUUUUUUUUUAACGAUACUAGAGGAGGAGCUAAGCUUUGUACAGGAAAAGGACAAUUUCGGGUUGCGGUUAGAAAAUAUUGAAGUUUGGGGCCAAUAAGAUUGUUCACCUUGGAGAUCAAAUCCCCCAUCCCGUCACUUUAACAAGUCAGUAGCUUAAGGAAUAAACUACUGGUGCAAUGCUGGACUGGUAGGCUAAAGGCUUGGUAGCCUGCUUCCAUUAGGAUUACAGCCAAGAAAAAGAAAUAGAGCAGUUCUACUCUAUAACACAUGGGGUCACCAUGAAUCAGAAUCCACUUGAUGGCAACAGUCUUAAGGAAUAGGUUUUUAUCUUAGUAGUAGUAAUGUUAAGCAAGUUGAUCCAUCUCUCAGCAUUCCUGAACCAAGUCUUACCUUUUGUGUAUAUGAACCAUGUUAAAGAAAAGUGGAGAAUAUUAGAAAGGAAAAAAGAAUGAGUACUUUUCCCAUUUUGGGGAGUAGAGGGGUCAGCAUAAAUUACUUUUGGGCUUGUGGGGUACUUGAUGGUUUUGUUCCUUCCUUUUCUCCACUCCCUGUGAAAAUUGGCUCCAUGGGAAGUAGGGGUAAAGUUUUGAUGAUCACUUUUGGUUCACUUGGAUGCAUGAAUGUGUCAGUUCCAGGAAUGCAUCUGUUCUGAGACUGUUCAGUGAAAGCUGUCAUUUUCAAACAUCAGAGCCCCACUUCCAGCUUAUUCUGAUUGAAUGGUGGGGGCAUGUUUUGAAUUAACUCCUUAAUACAUAUCUUGUUGGGAAAAAGUGAGUAAUAGUAGAUUAACUUUAAUAAUGAGUUUAAAAAUAUUAAGAAUAAACACCAAAUCUUUGUUAAUUCUUAUGUUGGUAUUUCAGCUAGUAGACUAGCUUUGUUGAACAAAUUUUAUUUUUCUCCUGCUUAACUAAGUACACAGAAUUAGGUAAUGACAUUUUAAAAAGAGCUUUAAAAAAUCAAGUUUUAGCCUAGGUAUUAAAUUAGAUGUUCUUCUGUGUGCACUUCAGACUUGUACACAGUAUGGUGUACAUUGAACAUGUUUCAUUCUGGUUUGUGUUAUAAAAUUAUGGAAUAAAAUGAAAUAACUGCAAUUGGGGGUAUUGGGUAAAUUCUUACUACUGUGAGCAUUCUUUGGCACCUUUUUCACCUGUCUAUGACAAAGGUCUCAGUUUGAACUCUGCUAUGGGGAAGAGUACUUAUGACAGGUAUUAAGCUGAGCAAAUUUUGGGUUUAGUAAAUACAAGCAAGCACAUUGAAAGUCUGUACAAACAAGCUGGCUUUUCAUAAUUGUUUUGUAGCUUGGUCAAGGGCUUAUAAAAUACCUUUAAAUGUCCUGGUUUUAAUCUGGUAUAGCAAUCCAAAUUUCAGCCUAGUAAAUUAAUGUAUCUGACUUUACAAGUGAGUUUUAAAUACUUUAAGAAGCUGAUCUGACUUAAAAGGAGAGCUGUAAGCAGAUUUUGCAGGAAUUUUUUACCUUAUAUCUCAGAAAACAGAGUGUAUGUGUAGGUUGAGUUUUUAAAUUAUGCAUUAUGUAAUGCCAUAUUUAUAUAGUGCUUCACAGUUCCCAGUACACUUUCACAGAAAUUUUUAUUUCAUGUAACAACAUUGAAGUAGAGUGUUACAUUCAUUUUAUGGUUCAGGAAAGUAAAUUUGAAAAGAUAAAAUAAUUUGUUUUCCUCUAUGAUCACUUGACUGGUUGGCUAGUAAAUGGCAAAGCCAGAACUUGGCUUUCUGCUGACCUUUAGACCAAUCCUCUUGCUCCUUAGCCACUGGCAGAAGACCUACCUGUAAGUCAGGUGGUACUUUCUGAGGCUUAUGCUAGUUUCUUUAGCAGUGGUUUCAAAUAAGUAAUACGUCUCACUUUUCUAAAGAAACUUGGUUCUUUGUUUUCAAAACGUAAACCCCAACUCAAGCCACGGUGAAUGAAGGCUUUAGGGGAUCUCAGAAUUGUGUGUUUACAUACAGGUCCUAAGACCUACUUUCUUUAAACACCAUGGUUAUCACAGUGUCUGUACUGGAGUAUGGCUAGUGGCAUGCAUUUCUGUAAAGUACUUUUUUAAGGCUUUUUUUCCCUUUUGUCUUCACGAAUGUAAGGGUUAAGUUAAUGAGGUGGUUAUAAAACUUUUAGGAGGGGAGAGAUUGGCAAAUGAUUCACAGAUGUUCUAAAUAGUAACCUAGGUAGCUGUCAAACAGAAUCUAUUAAGGAGUAAUGAGAAACUAGCAACAAGAAAUAAUUACUUUUACUGCUUUUGAAGUGGUCAGUUACCAGUGUGAUAGGGUAGUUGAAUAUGGAUAUAUUUGACAAAUUGGGUUGUCUACACAACUUUUUGGUUUAUGCUUAUAACUAAAUAUCCAGGCUAGUCAUGCUUCUAGGAAUGAUUUCAGAAGCUCAUUUAAAUUUACUGAAUUGUAACGACAACUGCCUUAAUAAAAGAGUCGUCAUGGUGAUUUAUUGCCCAAAUUAGGACAUCAGUGAAAGGAAGGGGUGCUGAUUAAUAAUUAUGCUGGGACAGCAGGUACAAACUAAGAUUAUCCUAGGUGGCAAACUUAUGGUCAUCCUACCUAAGACCAUUUGUUACUGCUAGUUUUCUUAGAUUAUAUGAAAGUUUUUUUAAACUUUGUCCAUCCCUCUACCACUGAGAUAGGUAGCUUUGCUCUAAGCUCCCAGAAGAUAAUUCUUUUUUUCUCAAAUGAAGUUAGCGUUUGGCAGACAGAUUAAAGGCUAAGUGAAAGAUUUUCCCCUCCCCAACAACAGGGAACUGGAAAAGUCAAGGAUAUGGUAGUUGCUGAAAAUAGAGCUCGCUGGCCUUCCAGUUAGUGAAUCUGUACUGAUAGUGUCAAAGCCAAGUAUGUUGGUUUUGUUAUGAAUGUCAGCUUUGAGCUAGUUUUGUAUUUAAAAAAGUAAUACACUUGGUGUUAGCAACAGUGUUCUAAAUUCAUAAUUUUUUCCUUCUAUACAAUUAAAAAAGAAGUCUCACCUACAGCUUGUUACGAUCAUUUUGUUUAGACUACUGAGUCCUGUAUAGUUUAGAAAACAUUUGACCCAGUUUAGCUUUUCUGAAAUUUAAUCUUGAAUUUAUUGCUAUUCCAGUGAUUGAUUGCAGUAUUUGGGCAGAUAGAUCUGCCAUUGGUAGGCUUAAUUUAUGGUCAGGUCACGAUUUUAUGUAGAAACCUAUCCAGUUUUUUCUUCAUUUAUAUGUAAUAUUUGAAGGAGGCACUAUGAACAAGAGUUAUGACACUAUUUCAUAGGUUGGCAGAUGUGUUCCAGUUUGUAGUUUUGAACAAAUAGUUAAACCUCUUGGAGCUUUAGGUUUCUCAUCUGUAGAAUGGGGAUUAAUGAUGUCUGCUUUACCUACUAAUUUACAAGUUGGUUAAGAUAAUCGAGGGCUUCUGGAAACUAUAAAAUGUAAUACUUGUCAGGUAGUACUUACUGUGAAAAAUUCUUAGUGGCUGAAGUGAAAGGUCAAAUAAAUGUCUUUGCUACCUAUCUACUAGGGUCAUAUUAGGAGAAAAUAAACCUACUUUUUUGAGUUAUUCUUAGCAAGUGUACUCUCAUGGUCUUAGUCCAACUAAGUAACAUUUGCAUAAAGAUAUAAUUCUCAAAAUACUUAAUUUUAGCAUAUCUGAAAAUUUGCAUACCCAGAAAGUGAAAAUUGUCCACAUUGUUUACUCCCAAGCAAUAUAACUUACACUUUUGUCACGUUGAGCGAGUAUGCAGUUCUUUUGAUAUUAAUUCCAGGUUAACAUUUGGGAGAAUAUACCUAUUUCCCAAGCAAAUAUAACAUCUUUUGUGUAUGGGUUUUUGGAUGAGCGGUUUCACAGUAUGAAAAUGUAAAAGUGAAUAAAUGUUAAAAUAUUUGUAGGUUAGCAGUCUCAGAUUACUGAUUAAGAAAAGAAACGGUGUUACAUGUGAUGAAUUUUGUGAGAUGUGAAUCCAAAGGCUUAGUGUAAACUUUGGGCAGUGAAUGGGCUCCGAUUAAUAGAAAGCUACAGUGCUACUUACUCCCUGGUGGUUAGUCUUUUGAGGACUUUGUAGGGCCUUGGCAUGGUUGUGGUGGACACCACUGUGUUGUCAAAAUGUAAAGUGCUCUACUUAAGACUUUGUGGUAUUAAUUGUAUUUGGUUAUAACAGGUUAAAAUGUAAAUUAAAUUAGGUACUAAAAGUUUAUAAUGAAAUUACCUUGAAAUUCUCAAAAUCAUUGUGUUUCUGACCAGAAAACAUUGUUUUAUGACACUAAUGACCUCGCUUUUAUAGAUCUUUCAAAAGGUAUUCACUAAUGUGAAAUAUUUUUUUCUGGGCAAAAUAGACUUUUUUUUUACACUACUUUAAAAGUACAUCUUUAUAAAGAAAAACAACCCGUUGUCGUCGUUUGCACUCAUCCUGACUCGGUGGCCUUCACAAUCGUGUCAGAGUAGAACUGUGCUCCAUGGAGUUUUCAGUGAACUGGCUUGACUCUGGGUGGUGCAUUUAAUGCUAACUGGAAGGUUGGUGGUUUCAGUCCACCCACAGGUGCUUUGAAAGAAAGGCCUGGUAGUACACUUGUGAAAAAUCAGCCACUGAAAACCUGUGGAGCACAGUUCCGCUCUGACACACAGGAGGUCGCCAUGAGUCAGAAUGUGUGCAGACACCAUGGCGACUGGUUACAUCUCUACAGAAGCACUGAAAUUUUGAUGAGAGGUUCUUGGCCAUUCAAAGACUUAGGGGAAAAAAGUCAAAUUAAUAAAUCUGAAUCGAUAGUAUUAUGCUUUUACUGUGUCAGUGCAGUUGUUGCUUCUGGUCAUUUAUUUCCUGAUGUAUUCCAAAACAUAAUUUUAAGUUUUUUUUUUUUUUUUUAAUGUCUUCUCUAGUUUCACAAAAAAUGGAAAAAGAAAUUUAGACUUUGAUCUCUCUUUUUCCCCAUAAUUCAGUGCUUUGGGUCAUUUACUUCCUCAGCCUCUUCCUUUCCAUGUCUACUUCCAGUGGAGCCUUUUUGAUUCUACUACAGCUAGACACAUUUGACUUCCUGAGGGAAUGUCUUCAAUUCUAAGAGAAGUCUUCUGUUUUGGUGGAGUAAGAGGCCCCUCUCCCCUUAAAUAGAGUCUGAUGGGAGAGAUCCGUUUCUGUAGGCAAAAUUGUAGGCUUUGGAUAAAAAAUUGUCUUUUUUUUUUUUUUUUUAACCUAGCCGUAGCUAGUUUGCAAGGUUUUAAAGCUCAUUAGAGGGCCAAACGAUUUAUUUUUCCUCUUUCUAGGGAAGGUAUGAGUUAAUUUUAGAGUGAGGAGAGGCAUCUCUAUUCAGGCUGGUAUGUGAAGAAGAAAGUUUUACGUAAUUCCUGUGAUGAAAAUAUAUACAACAAAACGUAACACUAGUUUCAAAAUAGUGUUUUGAAAAGCCUUAGUGAAGGAUUAAAAAGGAAGUUCCAAACACAUUUGACAAACAUACGUUGAGUGCCAACCAUGUAUUAGGCACUGUUCUAGGCUCUUUGGGGGAAUCAGUGAAGAAAAUAGACAAAAGAUCUCUUCGCUGAGUUUAUAGUCUAGUGAAUGUAUAAAUGCUUUUAAAAUCACUCUUCCGUUAGUAUGUGUAAUUAAGAGUUAAUUUGAAUUAGUCAAUAGCACCAAUGGUGGCUGCUCUAUGGAGGGCACUAUAUAGGGUCCCUGUGAGUUGGAAUCAACUGUGCAGUGAUGGAUUUCGCUUUGGUUUGUACCAGGUGCUGGUCCCUGCUCCAUAUCAAAGGCUGUAGGAAGCCUACAUUGAUUACAUUACUUCACUAUUAGCCUAAAGUGGUACUGACAAGUUGAAAAACCAUUAAGCAAUUAUUUUCAUUGAUAAUAAAACCCUGCAACAAUAAUGGCACCUACUAUUUUUUGGAGACUGUGCUAGGUACUAUGUUAGGUGCUUACCAGUGUCACUUAAUCCUCAAAACAACCCUGCAAAAUUGGUACCACCCUAUUUGACAGAUACGGAUUAAGUACUUUAGGAAAAAUGACAACAAAUAGGUAACAUCACUGGGAUUCAUGCACGUCUGUUUCAUUCCAAAGCCUGUGUUCCUUCCACUUUCAUAUUUGCUGUAUAUACUAUUAACAGUAAACAAUUCAGACAGCUUGCAACUUUAUUUCUGUUCUUAGAUUUUUUCCUUCGGUAGAUGAAUUUUAUUGCAUCUUAAAAAUAUCACCAACAGGUCUUAGAAUCAUUCAGCCUCGUUUCUGUAGCUAGGUAACUCUUAAAUCUUAGUCAUCAGCCUGUUAAACUGUUCCCUUUUCAGAGACAUAGAUGUGAUUCAGAAAUUUUUGAUAGCCUUGUUUUUUUCUGUUUUGUAGAUUUUAAUUUUAUGAUUUUUUAAAAGGUUGCUUUGACCAGUCUUUUGACUUAAUUUCUCUCUGUUAAAUUAUUAAGUAAUAAAGUGCCAUCUUUCAUGUAUGAAGACAGUAAAAGAAUAGGUAGGCUGAGUGUAUUUUCCAGUGGAGGGGAAAUGUUAGAUAGUGGAAUGAGCACUGGAUCAGGAGUCAUUUUAGGAGGGAGGGGCGUCUUGUCUAUUUCAAGUUUUACUUUGACUUCUGUUGCUUUAGACAUGCCACUUAAUCUUUCAAGGACUGUUUUCUCAUGUGUACAACCAGAGAUUUCUGAAAGCUAUUAUGAAUUUACAGGCUGAAACAUUUUGAGUACAUACUACAAGGGUGGAGGGCUAUAAAACAAAUCUAAUUCAGCUGUGGAUUGAGUCUACAAUUUUGGAUUCUACUCCAGCCAACUCAGCUACUGGUCCAUAUAAUAGAGAAGCUUCCAUUCUUCAAAUUUGUGUUCAUAUUUCUACUUGUGUUUUUUUAAAAAAAAAAACAAAAACCAUUGUGUUUAAUGAACUAUAAAGGUCGGAAUAUAUGAAACUGCCAGUUUCAAUCAUUUUUUUGACCUACCUUUGUCCUGGGGUGAGAGCUAGAAGGUGAGGAUUCAUUUACACCCAUAAAAGCCUCAAGGCUUUUUAGGAAACACUGGGAUUUUUGACAGACUGUACGUAAAUACUUUCUCCCAGAAGUUGGUUUUGCUUUUUGAUUUUUUACCUGAUUUCACUUUUCGGGUCUAUCUUCUGCCUCCCCGCCUCCCCCUGGAAUAGUGGGUUCAUAUUUGCUAUUUUUGCAGUUCUGUUUUUAAAAAAAUUAUUUGCAGUUUUUUUUUAAUGCAGCACUUUCAGGGUCAUCAUGUUGUACAGCCCCCUGGAACUGUGCAACAUAGGGACCCUCAGGUACUUUUUGUUUUCAAACAAAUGGAAUUUAUCCGUUUUGUUAGUUGUCCGAAUUGACAUAAAGAGAAUGGAAAAGGCUACUUCUUUGUUUUCUGUCCAUUAGAGAAUUGGUCUCAGUGGUAUACUUCACAGUUUGUAAAAUGCAGUUGUAAGAAAACGUCUGGGUUUAAUAGUAAUACCCUUCUUCAGCUGUAACUGGUAGAUUCCCAUUUCAUCAACGUGGAAAUUUUCUUACUGUUCUGUAUUUAAGAACUGUCCCCCCCCCCUUUGUGAGAUGCUUUGUUUCUGGCUUUGAAAUAGAGCUUGCUCUUAUUCUUCAAUACCCUAGCUUUUUCGCAUGGUCAUUUAACAUGUUCAGAUAUUCUUCUGUUUAAUCAAGGAAUAGAGAAAUUAAACAAUGUAGAGCACAAGGUAAACACCAGUGUAACUCCCUGAGGUGUGGGACAAAAGCUUUAGAAGUGGCUGGAUAAGAAGCUCUAGGAACUUAGUGAUACUCAUGUUGAUAUGGCCCUUUACUUUUUCUUUAUGUACUUUUUUAGUGGCUUCUUCAGACAUGUCGAUCGGGAGGUUGGGGAAAUUGCAACAGAGGAUGUUGGCUUUUCCGUCUAGACCAACUGCUGUUAAAUGUUUUUCCUCUUUCCAACAAUUAAUAAAUGUACACCACUAACUUGUUCCCUAUACUUUUACUUCUGUAACUACUUUUCUGCUUCUAUAACUUUUCUUACGACUUUCUUGACCUUCACCUUUCUUCUGUUGCUGACAUUUCUUUAUUCAUUUUGUCUUUACCAUUUAUCCUUGUCUGUCACACUGCGUGAAAAUCCUGGUGGUGAAGCGUAUAAGAGCUAUGGCUGCUGACUGAAAGAAAGGUUGACAGUUCAAAUCCACCAGGCGGUCUUUGGAAACUGUAUGGGGGAGUUCUUCUCUGUCCUAUAGGGAAUCAGCUCGAUGGCAACAGGUUUUAUCUUUCUUCUGUUUUAAGAAUUUUUAAUUUUGUUGAGAAUACACACAGCAAAACAUAACCGAUUCAGCAUUUUCUACUUGUACAAUUUAGUGAUAUUGAUUACAUUUUUUGAGUUGUGCAACCAUUCUCACCCUCCCUUUCUAAGCUGUUCUUCCCUAUUAACAUAAACUCACUGUCCCCUAAGAUUCUUAUCUAAUCUUUUGAAUUGCUGUUGUCAGGUUAAUGCCAUAUAGAUCUUAAAAGAGCAUAAUGCUAAAGACAGACCUUUUUUUUUUUUUCUAAUGAAGCUGAACUGUUGUUUGGUUUUAAGAAGACUUCAGGGGAUAUUUCUGGUUUAAGGUUUAAAGAUUAUCUCAGGGCAGUAGUUUCAGGGGUUCAUCAACCCUCCACGGCUCCAGUAAGUUUGGCUUCUAUGAGACUUUGAAAUUUUGUUUUGCAUUUCCCUCCUUUUGAUCAGGAUUCUUCUGUGGGAUCUCUGAUCAAAAUGUUCAGUAAUGGUAGCUGGGCCCCAUUCAGUUCUGGCCUCAUGGCAGAGGAGGCAGUUGCUCAUAAAGGCAGUUAGCCACACAUUCAGUAUCUUCCUCCCACUUCUGACUCUCCUUCCUCCGUUGCUCCAGGUGAGUAGAGCCCAAUUGUGCCUUAGAUGGCCACUUGCAAGCUUUUAAGACCCCAGACACUAUGCAUCUAGCUCGGAGAGUUACCUGGAAUGUCCCAUGUAGCUAUGACCCUAAACCUCCAAACCAAGGAACCAAAUCUGAUGAGGUGUUUUUCUUUCAACUAUUUUAAAACCUAAAAUAAUUUUGGGACAUAAAUAGUACUCUUCAGCAGUAUAUUUGAGUCCAGCAUGACUCCGAAAAUAAUGAGGAGACUAUUUAAUUUACACCUGUUUUGUGAUCCUCAGAUCAAGUCUGGAUAUAUUAGCAAGUAGAUUUACCUUACUACUCCAACGGCACUGGGUUUUUACUCAGAAAGAUGUGGUUUAAAAUAUUAAAACCUUUCUGUUUUAUAUAUUUGUAUAUAUUAAAAUAUACCUCUAUCCUUAUUUGAUAUCAUCCAGGUUUUUUAAAUUUAAAAAUAAACUGGAAGCUGAUUUACCAAGAGAUACUUGUGAAAUAGAGACGAAUUCUUUGUGUGUAUAGAGAGAUAAUGUUUACCUUUUAUUAGGAGCACAAGUCAUUACCAAGAACAGUAGCUGGUUAAAUUGCAUUAAGAUCAGUUUGGGCAUCUUGGACAUUUUCCAGGUGAUGUAUCUAUUUGAUGUAUUUCCUAUAAAUUUUUUUCAAUUAUAGAAGUAUUUAUAUAUUCAUUGAACAAUUUAAAAAAAAGAAGGAUCUGGGAAGAAAAGUACUCAUAUUACCCAAUGUUUUCUGGGCUUGAGUUCUUAUAUGAUUUCCUUAUAUUGUGUGUGUGUGUGUUUACAUCUGACUUUACUUAAUUUUGUAAUGUGAACAUUUUAUUACAUUAUGAACUGUAACUGUUUUUAUUGGCUAUGUAAUAUAUCCAAUAACAAGCUGAUUUGAGUUUUUGUCUAGUAUAACAACACUGCAAUGAAUUUAUAUCCACACAUAUAUCAUUUUACUGUAACUUGAUUUAUUUACUUAGAGAUUCUGACAUUGAUUCACUGGUCAAAAUGAGUGAAUAUUAAGCAUUUGACAUGUGUUAUCCAAUUGUUUUCUGUAAAGAUUUUAUCAGUUUAUGGUAUCAACAAUUCGAGUGUACAGUGUAGAAUUUUUAACCUACAAAAACGUGUAUCUUAAGAUUUAAAAAUGUAGUUAAAAGAGAAAUUCAGUUUUUCCCACUUUUGUUUUGAUUUUUCUUAUUACAAAAGCAAGAAUUACAUGUGAGAAUGUAAAAAAGCACAGCCGUAUCAAGUAAAUACUGAAAGUUACUCAUUCCUGCCAGAAGUAACUAUUGUUAAUAGUAUUUUUCCAGAACCACUUUUUUUGUGCAAGUGCACACAAACACCCCUUAUUUAUUGACUAAUAUGCCAUCAAUGUUAGAUGCUUCAUUAUUUUAUGUAACACUAAUGAAGAAAAGUGCUACCAGUUGUACCUUGACAGUUAAAAUGUGAAAAAAAGAACUCCUAGAAUAGAUGCUGUACACAUGUACAGUUUAUUCUUUCAUAGAAAUAACAUUGUUAUUCUGCUGCUUGCCUUUUCCUCUAAACAAGAUAUUGUGAGUAUUUAAAAAACACUUCAAAGACAAAAAUCGGAACAUUUUAGCUAGACUAAUAGGAAGACUAAAAGUCUGGUUUGUUCAUCUAGAUCAGUUUACCUUUAUUUUUUAAAAUUAAAAUUUUUUUAUUGUGCUUUUAAGUGCAAGUUUACAAAUCAAGUCAGUCUCUCACACAAAAUCUUACACACACCUUGCUAUAUACUCCUCGUUGCUGUCCGCCCAAUGAGACAGCACAUUCCUUCUCUCCACCCUGUAUUCCUGUGUCCAUUCAGCCAGCUUCUGUCCCCCUGUGCCUUCUCAUCUCCCCUCCAUACAGGAGCUGCCCACAUAGUUUCAUGUGUCUACUUGAGCCAAGAAGCUCACUCCUCACCAGUAUCAUUUUCUAUUUUAUAAUCCAGUCCAAUCCCUGUCUGAAGAGUUGGCUUUGGAAAUGGUUCUAGUCUUGGGCUAAGAGAAGGCCUGGGGAUCAUGACUUCCAGGGUCCUUCUAGUCUCAGUCAGACCAUUAAGUCUGGUCUUUUUUACGAGAAUUUGAGGUCAGCAUCCCACUGCUCUCCUGCUCCCUCAGGGAUUCUCUGUUGUGUUCCCUGUCAGGGCAGUCACCGGUUGUAGCCAGGCACCAUCUAGUUCGUCUGGUCUCAGGCUGAUUGAUGUAGUCUCUUUGGUUUAUGUGGACCUUUCUGUCUCUUGGGCUUGUAAUUACCAUGUGUCUUUGGUGUUCUUCAUUCUCCUUUGCUCCAGAUGGGCUGAGACCAAUUGUUGCAUCUUAGAUGGCCACUUGCUAGCAUUUAAGACCCCAGGCGCCACUUACCAAAGUGGGAUGCAGAAUAUUUUCUUAAUAGAUUUUAUUAUGCCAGUUGACCUGGAUUUUAUUAUGCCAAUAAACCAUGGUCCCCAAACCGCACCCCUGCUACACUGGUCAUCAAAGUGUUCAGUUUAUUCAGGAAACUGCUUUGCUUUUGGUUUAGUCCAGUUGUAUAGAUCAGUCUACCUUUAGAGAAGAACUUCCCAGGAGAUUUUAACGUGCAGCCAGGGUUGCGAACCACUGGAAUAGAUCAGUAGGGGAACGAGGGAAACCAUGAUGGCGUAGUGGUUAAGUGCUACGGCUGCUAACCAAGAGAUCAGCAGUUUGAAUCUGCCAGGCGCUCCUUGGGAACUCUAUGGGGCAGUUCUACUCUGUCCUAUAGGGUCGCUAUUAGUUGGAAUCGGUUCGACGGCAGUGGGUUUUUUGGUUUAGGGGAAUGAGGGCAUUGCACUGUAGUUGGCAGGGAAACGUUACUGAAAGAUGGAAAAGAUUUGGAUGGUGGAGAGGGGAGGUUCUUUUAGAUAUAUCAUCAAAGGCACAGAUAGGGGAUUAAAGCCUGUGAUGCCUAGGAAUGGGAGAUCUGGGUUAGAAAGAAAAACUGGAACCAGAAUAAAUGGAAGGCCUUAUUAGAGACUUAGAUUCCAGGCUCUGUGUUCUUUAUUUGGCUCCUUACUGCAUUAAGCACAUUGUUAACACUCCUGAGUGCUUAGAUCCUCAUGGGUUCCUGCUUUUUGUUUUUGUUUUUUUAAACCUGGGAAGAGAGGCUAGCAAAGAAAAGGAAUUUAACAUACUAAACUGCUGCAAUGUGCCCGGCAAUUUACUGCUCAACCUCAUUUUAAUUCUUGAAGCCCACAGAGAGGUGGGCAUCAUUUUUUCCUAUGUCAUUGGUGAGGGAACAAGCUCAGAGAGGUGAAGUGACACACCUGAGACCAAACAGCGUGCAAAUAAAUAAGAGUGAAAACCUUAUUGAAUCUUCCUGGCUCUUCAGGUGGUGUUUUCACUACCACAGUAUUUCCCACAGUGUGGUGUGUGCCAUUUCGUCCACCUAAUAUAAGUACAAGUGGCAAGUAGAUAAGACAAAAGUAGUGAAGACGUUAGUUACUGAAAUAAAAUAAAACCAAAAAACCAAACCCAGUGCCGUUGAGUCGAUUCCGACUCAUAGCGACCCUAUAGGAAAGUAGAACUGCCCCAUAGAGUUUCCAGGGAACGCCUGGCAGAUUUGAACUACCAACCUCUUGGUUAGCAGCUGUAGCACUUAACCGCUAUGCUCGCUACCAGGGUUUCCUGAAAUAAAAGAAUAGGACCUCUUAAAAAGAGGCUUUACAGACCUUCCAUUAUAUCUCUUGCAUCAUCCUGUUUGUCAGCACACAUCAUGAUUGUAUGUCAGUUUGUUUACUACCCUCUCCAUUCUAAACUUUGCUUAAAGAAAAACAAACCCCAGGAGUGGUUCCUAGGUCUUGCCAAAUUGUUUACCUUAAGUUAUUCCUUCCUUUAGAAUAACUUUUCUUAACAUACUCGAAGAUUGAUCUCAUCAUAUGUGGUAGUUUUAAUUAUGCACAACUGUUGUGCUAGUGAUUACUAUCAUAGCACUUUGUAUCUGUAAGAAAAUAUAAGUGAUGUAAGAUUUCUUAAGUUACAAACCCCGGGUAUUCAUCGCAUUGCUAGAUCUUUUCCAUGUUAUUUAGUGUUAGAAUUAAAGUAGUUAGGAAUUUUUUUCAAAGAUGGAAUUACAGUUUUGAGCACUGUAAGCUGUGUCUUAGUGUCCCAGAGAACCCUUUAAGUGAUUUGGAAGCACACUCACAUUAGUGCAAAUAGUCAGCCUGCUAAAAGUUGUGAUGUUAAGGUGAUGACAUACUGUAACAUCACAACUUUGAGCCAAAGUAAGCAGCUGAAUUACCAUGAAAAAACUAAAAUAGUCAAAUUUAGCAGGGAUUUAGUAUGUAAACUACCAGUAUGGGUCAGCUUAGCAGUCAGAGUUGUUUGUAGCUAGCUUCACCUGAUGGGCUCAUUAGAGUACAGCUCUAUCAAAAAUCAGAUGUUCCAUAGGGAUCAUACUUGAAUGUCUUAUAAUUGAUACUACCUGCUCUUAAAAUUCUUCAGGUGAAACUCCUUUUCUCUGCAUCGUGAUACAGAACUGAUGGUUCCAAAAGAAUAUUCGUCAGUGUGAUAGAGAAGGCGUUUGGUACUUGAGAAACAAUUUGGUCCCUGUCUGUAUGCUCCUAGGCGCUGACAUAAUCAUCUUCACUAACAAGCUUUCGGAUCUUUUAGAAAUCCAUAAAGAAGAACGUUGAUUGUCCUUGACUUAUCUAGGAAUUGACUAUAUUUAAUGCUUGUCAGAAUUUAGCCUAGCUGAUAAAAUUACUUCAUUAACACCUUGGAGGUUGUCUAAGCUUUAUCAGAAAGUAACACAACACCUGGGCACUUAACGGUCUCACUGAUUAAUGAGGUCAAUGUUUCUCUUUUGUAAAUCUAGUUAGACUUUUUCUGGGACUAUUCCUUUUUACAUAAAGGUCCACAUAGUAAAUUUCUCUUAGAAUUUAGUACUUGGAAAUUUUUUUUUCCCAGUAAACUUGGAUAAUUCUUUUUUGCAAAAUACAGUGAAGCAGUUUAACUCAGAACAUUUUAUUGUUGCCUUAUUGCCAUUAAACAUAGCCAAAAUUUGUAUUCUACUUUCUGGUACUUUCUAUGUGUCCUUUUAAAUGAUGCCCUUUUUUAAAAGCAUGGUUUGCUCAGCCUUUAGUUGUAUGGCAGGGUCAUGUGACUAGUUUGGGCCAAUGAAAUGUGAGCAUGAAUUACAGCUGUAACCGUGCAGAGGCAGUGAAAAGCCUUUUCCUGGCUCUCCCUUGCUUCUUUCACCAGGGAAGUCUCAGGUACCAGAUGGCGCAGCUACAAAAUGAUGGGCCCUCACUUAGCCAUGUGAGCGAGAGAUGAAUCUUUGUUGUGUCAAGCCACUGAUAUUUUGAGAGUAAUUUAUUCUGAAGCACACUUAGCCUGUCCUUUGGAAUAUGGAAUUUCCACUUGCAAUUCAGGGCUAUUGGUGCUUUAGAAAAGGUUUAAAACAAUGUUUUUCUCUUUUGUGAUCUCAAUUUUGAGAUGCUAAAUACAUCCAGUCUUCUCUGCCUUCUAAAAUCUCAGAGGAGGCAGGAGUAUUUAAAAAUUACGUGCCACUUUCUCUAAAGAUGAAUAAAAGCAUCCUCCUAGCUGGUAUAUUAAAUAUGUGAAUGCCAUAUGAAGAAGGACAUUGUGAUUUCAUGGCAUGCUUAGCAUAUGAAUGAGUCAUGAAAAGGCAUAUCCUUCACAUUCCUCUCUUCCAUUCUUCCUGUAAUGUGCAGAUUAAUUCUCUGGUAGUUUUUUUUUUUUUAAUCCCUUAAUUUUUAAAUCACAUUUCUCCAGAACUGGGUAUUGAGAUUUUAAGGGAGGCAUUCUAUCUUAUAAAGUUCUCUGGCCAGCCUGAGCCUUUCUUUAGAUGUUUUAGUUUUCCCUUUGGUCCUCAGUCUAGCUAGUCUCAUAAUUUUAUUGUUGGCAUAGGUCUGAGCUUCUCUUUUAUUCUUUUGGGAAUCCACCAAACUCAAACAUCAGGCUGGCUUUUGCUGCUGUACUUUUUACUCCCUUGUAUCGCAGAAAACAAAUGUUUUUCCCGUGUACAGUUCAACGGCCACUCCUUUUCAUACAGUGAUUCCAGCACUCAGUGUUAGCGGUUUCUCUGAUUAUCCUAAGAUGGGGAGAUUCCUAAAAUUUAGACUGUUGACACCCUCCUCCUUCCUUAGCUCACCUUUCCUUACCAUCAAAGGCUAUAAUUCUUUUUUUUUUUCCCCCACACAGGAACUGGGAAAAUACUUGAAGAUGCCGUAAAGGAGCCCUGGUGGUGGAUUGGUUAAGCGCUUGACUACUAACCGAAAGGUUGGCGAUUCGAGCCCACCAUCUGCUCUGCAGGAGAAAGACGUAUCUGCUUCCAUAAAGAUUACAGCCUUGGAACCCUAUGGGGCAGUUCUACUCUGUCCUGUAGGGUUGCUAUGAGUCAGAAUUAACUAGACGACAGUGGGUAUAGAUGUCAUAAGGAGCCCUGAUGAUGCAAAUGGUUAAGUGCUUGGCUGCUAACCCACAGAAUAAAAUACGUAGGAAUAAAUUUAACUAAGGAAGUAAAGGACUUGUACACUGAAAACUACAAAACAUUGCCAGAAGAAAUUCAGAUGCUGGUGAGGAUGCAGAGAAAAUGGAUUGCUCAUACACUGUUGAGAAUGUAAGCUGGUACUGCCACCCUGGAGAACAGUCUAGCAGUUAAAAAAACUAAACAGGUACCAUAUGACCCAGCAAUUGCACUUCUGGUCAUUUUCCCCAGAGAAAUGAAAACAUGUUCUCAGAAAAACCUGUACUUGGAUGUUUAUUUAUUUGUAAUAGCCAAAAACUGGAAACCCCUCAUAUGUC
Molecule: long non-coding RNA, 18535 nt
Organism: Loxodonta africana (African savanna elephant)
Lineage: Eukaryota; Metazoa; Chordata; Mammalia; Proboscidea; Elephantidae
Exons: 3
Source: RefSeq, a predicted model, not a curated record